RNAcentral lists this ribosomal RNA (341 nucleotides) under uncultured soil bacterium. RNAcentral describes it as "bacterial SSU rRNA". It matches the Rfam family "Bacterial small subunit ribosomal RNA", at positions 26 to 366 of the family's 1533-position model. The record is from RNAcentral.
AGAUUGAACGCUGGCGGCAGGCCUAACACAUGCAAGUCGAGCGGUAGAGAGGUGCUUGCAUCUCUUGAGAGCGGCGGACGGGUGAGUAAUGCCUAGGAAUCUGCCUAGUGGUGGGGGAUAACGUUCGGAAACGGACGCUAAUACCGCAUACGUCCUACGGGAGAAAGCGGGGGACCUUCGGGCCUCGCGCCAUUAGAUGAGCCUAGGUCGGAUUAGCUAGUUGGUGAGGUAAUGGCUCACCAAGGCGACGAUCCGUAACUGGUCUGAGAGGAUGAUCAGUCACACUGGAACUGACGACACGGUCCAGUACUCCGUACGGGAGCAGCAGGUGGGGAAUAGUU